This 67-nucleotide transfer RNA is filed under the name Marmota monax (woodchuck). Its description in RNAcentral is "tRNA.Ala". It matches the Rfam family "tRNA", at positions 6 to 65 of the family's 71-position model. From Rfam's summary of the family: Transfer RNA (tRNA) molecules are approximately 80 nucleotides in length. Their secondary structure includes four short double-helical elements and three loops (D, anti-codon, and T loops). The record is from RNAcentral. Lineage: Eukaryota; Metazoa; Chordata; Mammalia; Rodentia; Sciuridae.
GUUGUAGCUCAGUGGCAGAGCGCUUGUCUAGCAUGUGUGAGGCACUGGGUUCGAUUCUCAGCACACA